GCAGGCAGGUUACACUGGUUCCCAUAUGAUCACCAAAGUUAAGCAACAUCAAGCCUGCUUAGUACCUAGAUGGGUGAGAACUUGGGAAUACCAAGUGCUGUAAG
RNAcentral lists this ribosomal RNA (104 nucleotides) under Acanthosepion pharaonis. The record is from RNAcentral. Lineage: Eukaryota; Metazoa; Mollusca; Cephalopoda; Sepiida; Sepiidae.